This 789-nucleotide ribosomal RNA is filed under the name uncultured bacterium. Its description in RNAcentral is "bacterial SSU rRNA". It matches the Rfam family "Bacterial small subunit ribosomal RNA", at positions 60 to 862 of the family's 1533-position model. The record is from RNAcentral.
AGUCGAACGGAGCUUAGAGAGCUUGCUUUUUAAGCUUAGUGGCGAACGGGUGAGUAACGCGUGAGUAACCUGCCCUAGAGUGGGGGACAACAGUUGGAAACGACUGCUAAUACCGCAUAAGCCCACGGUACCGCAUGGUACUGAGGGAAAAGGAUUUAUUCGCUUUAGGAUGGACUCGCGUCCAAUUAGCUAGUUGGUGAGGUAACGGCCCACCAAGGCGACGAUUGGUAGCCGGACUGAGAGGUUGAACGGCCACAUUGGGACUGAGACACGGCCCAGACUCCUACGGGAGGCAGCAGUGGGGGAUAUUGCACAAUGGGGGAAACCCUGAUGCAGCGACGCCGCGUGGAGGAAGAAGGUUUUCGGAUUGUAAACUCCUGUCGUUAGGGACGAUAAUGACGGUACCUAACAAGAAAGCACCGGCUAACUACGUGCCAGCAGCCGCGGUAAAACGUAGGGUGCAAGCGUUGUCCGGAAUUACUGGGUGUAAAGGGAGCGCAGGCGGGAAGACAAGUUGGAAGUGAAAACCAUGGGCUCAACCCAUGAAUUGCUUUCAAAACUGUUUUUCUUGAGUAGUGCAGAGGUAGAUGGAAUUCCCGGUGUAGCGGUGGAAUGCGUAGAUAUCGGGAGGAACACCAGUGGCGAAGGCGGUCUACUGGGCACCAACUGACGCUGAGGCUCGAAAGCAUGGGUAGCAAACAGGAUUAGAUACCCUGGUAGUCCAUGCCGUAAACGAUGAUUACUAGGUGUUGGGGGAUUGACCCCCUCAGUGCCGCAGUUAACACAAUA